UACGGAGGGUGCAAGCGUUGUUCGGAAUUACUGGGCGUAAAGGGCGCGUAGGCGGUAAUAUAAGUCAAAUGUGAAAUCCUCCAGCUUAACUGGAGAACAGCAUCUGAAACUGUGUAACUAGAGUACAGGAGAGGGAAACGGAAUUCCCGGUGUAGAGGUGAAAUUCGUAGAUAUCGGGAGGAACACCAGUGGCGAAGGCGGUUUCCUGGCCUGAUACUGACGCUGAGGCGCGAAAGCGUGGGGAGCAAACAGGAUUAGAUACCCUGGUAGUCCACGCUGUAAACGGUGAGCACUAGGUGUGGGAGGUGUAAUACCUUCUGUGCCGUAGUUAACGCGAUAAGUGCUCCGCCUGGGGAGUACGGCCGCAAGGUUGAA
This 375-nucleotide ribosomal RNA is filed under the name uncultured bacterium. Its description in RNAcentral is "bacterial SSU rRNA". It matches the Rfam family "Bacterial small subunit ribosomal RNA", at positions 524 to 898 of the family's 1533-position model. The record is from RNAcentral.